RNAcentral lists this long non-coding RNA (339 nucleotides) under Elaeis guineensis (African oil palm). Its description in RNAcentral is "long non-coding RNA (EGUI_LNC000165)". Lineage: Eukaryota; Viridiplantae; Streptophyta; Magnoliopsida; Arecales; Arecaceae. The record is from RNAcentral.
GCCCCAGUUGACAGAUUAUUGAUUCUUCGGACACUGUUGGUGCACAAUCAUUACACCUAGCAUUAUUCUAAUGCUGAAACAAAUAUGUGAAUGUAGCUAACAGUUUGAAGCUUACCAAUGUGCCCUCCGUAGUUUGUAGGAAGUGCACAUACACGAGCCCACUAUCCUAUUUCAUGAUGGAGAAUUUGGGUAGAGGGCAGACAUGUCGAAUUCUGACCAACAAUGCUUUAAGCAUCCCUUUCUCGCUAGGACUCGGGCAAAGCAGUUUCUUUGCCAAAAAAUGUCCCAAGAAGAAUGCAACAAAGGUAGUUUUGUUGCAUAAAUUACAUUAGUGCCCCA